Podarcis lilfordi (Lilford's wall lizard) is the source of this 77-nucleotide non-coding RNA. Lineage: Eukaryota; Metazoa; Chordata; Lepidosauria; Squamata; Lacertidae. The record is from the annotation of a GenBank genome assembly.
GGAGAAUCCUGGGAACUGUAGUUUGUUAAGGUGCAAUUCUUGGCACCCUUAGCAGACUGCAGUUCCCAGAAUUCUCC